AGGAGAUGUGGGGCUAUAGGAAGGAGAUGUGGGGCUGUACGAAGGAGAUGUGGGGCUGUAUGAUGGAGAUGUGGGGCUGUACGAUGGAGAAGUGGGGCUAUAUGCAGGAGAAGUGGGGCUAUAUGCAGGAGAAGUGGGGCUAUAUACGGGUGAAGUGGGGCUGUAGCUAGGUGAAGUGGGACUGUAACUGGGGGAUGUGGGACUGUAACUUGGAGAUGUAGGGCUGUAACUUGGAGAGGUAGGGCUAUAGCUUGGUGAGGUUGGAGAAUAUGAGGGGCUGGUAGGAGAGUAGGCUGGACUUGUCGGACUGUAUCCUGGUGAGCUAGGACUGUAAGUAGGUGAUGUGGGGCUGUAACCAGGAGAGGUGGGACUGUACCCAGGAGAUGUAGGACUGUAACCAGGAGAGGUAGGACUGUAACCAGGUGAUGACGGACUGUAUCCAGGAGAUGAUGGGCUGUAACCGGGGGAUGACGUAGGAGAGAAUGCCAUUCCACCAACAUAAGGCGAGAACUGUGCAUCUGAAAUGGGUGAGAGACGGAGAUUUGGGCUCAGCAAGUAACUUGGAGACAUCAUGCCUUCAUGAUAAGGA
This 589-nucleotide long non-coding RNA is filed under the name Gossypium raimondii (Peruvian cotton). Its description in RNAcentral is "long non-coding RNA (GRAI_LNC005325)". Lineage: Eukaryota; Viridiplantae; Streptophyta; Magnoliopsida; Malvales; Malvaceae. The record is from RNAcentral.